This 467-nucleotide long non-coding RNA is filed under the name Triticum aestivum (bread wheat). RNAcentral describes it as "long non-coding RNA (TAES_LNC027263)". Lineage: Eukaryota; Viridiplantae; Streptophyta; Magnoliopsida; Poales; Poaceae. The record is from RNAcentral.
UCAUGAUUUCCCCCUGGUAGCUCAGGUGUGCGUGAUUUCCACUGAAAUUUCCAGUCGAAUUUUAGUUUCCUUUCACUGUAUUAUAAGUGUAUUUUAUAGUCUAAUAUCAGUGUACUUACCUUGUAAAUUGCACUGUUAUAUCAGUGUACUAACUUUUGUAACUACACUGUAAUAUCAGUGUAUUUACAGUCUAAUAUCAGUGUACUUACUUUGUUACUUGCACUUUAAUAUCAGUGUACUAACUAUGUAAUUACCAUGUAGUAUCAGCGUGCUUACACUGUAACUCACAGUGUAAUUUCAGUGAAUUUACUUUUGCAAUCCUAGUGAUUUCAGCAUGUGGUGCUUCCUGAUUGACUGAUUCCUAUGAUUUUUAGUUAGUUAUGCAAGUGGAUCUCUCUGUAUUGUAGCUCAAAAUUACAGUUGUUCUUACCCCCCAGAAUUUCAGUGUAACUACUGUGUAAUAUGUU